Molecule: ribosomal RNA, 218 nt
Filed under: uncultured bacterium
Lineage: Bacteria
Description: partial 16S ribosomal RNA
Rfam family: Bacterial small subunit ribosomal RNA
Source: RNAcentral
CUGCCUCUAUGAUGGGGAUAACAGUUGGAAACGACUGCUAAUACCGAAUACGCUCAUAAUGAACUUUAUGAGGAAAGGUGGCCUCUGCUUGCAAGCUAUCGCAUAGAGAUGAGUCCGCGUCCCAUUAGCUAGUUGGUGGGGUAACGGCCUACCAAGGCAACGAUGGGUAGCCGAUCUGAGAGGAUGAUCGGCCACACUGGAACUGGAACACGGUCCAG